UUGUUUAAUUCGAAGCAACGCGCAGANCCUUAACCAACCCCUUGACAUNCUGUGCUAUAUCCAGAGAUGGAUAGUUCCCUUNGGGNACGCAGUGACAGGUGCUGCAUGGCUGUCGUCAGCUCGUGUCGUGAGAUGUUNGGUUAAGUCCGGCAACGAGCGCAACCCACAUCUUUAGUUGCCAGCAGUUCGGCUGGGCACUCUAAAGAAACUGCCCGUGAUAAGCGGGAGGAAGGUGUGGAUGACGUCAAGUCCUCAUGGCCCUUACGGGUUGGGCUACACACGUGCUACAAUGGCAGUGACAAUGGGUUAAUCCCAAAAAGCUGUCUCAGUUCGGAUUGGGGUCUGCAACUCGNCCCCAUGAAGUCGGAAUCGCUAGUAAUCGCGUAACAGCAUGACGCGGUGAAUACGUUCCCGGGCCUUGUACACACCGCCCGUCACCACCCA
RNAcentral lists this ribosomal RNA (444 nucleotides) under uncultured Rhodobacterales bacterium. Its description in RNAcentral is "bacterial SSU rRNA". It matches the Rfam family "Bacterial small subunit ribosomal RNA", at positions 942 to 1406 of the family's 1533-position model. The record is from RNAcentral. Lineage: Bacteria; Pseudomonadati; Pseudomonadota; Alphaproteobacteria; Rhodobacterales.